CUAAUACAUGCAAGUCGAGCGGCAAGUCGAGGAGUAAUCUAAGACCUAGAGCGGCGCACGGGUGCGUAACGCGUAUGCAACCUACCUUAUACUGGGGGAUAGCCCGGAGAAAUCUGGAUUAAUACCCCAUGGCACAUAUUGAUGGCAUCUGAGAUAUGUUAAAGAUUUAUUGGUAUAAGAUGGGCAUGCGUCUGAUUAGCUAGUUGGCGGUGUAACGGACCACCAAGGCGACGAUCAGUAGGGGUUCUGAGAGGAAGGUCCCCCACACUGGCACUGAGAUACGGGCCAGACUCCUACGGGAGGCAGCAGUAGGGAAUAUUGGGCAAUGGUCGGAAGACUGACCCAGCCAUGCCGCGUGCAGGAAGACGGCCCUCUGGGUUGUAAACUGCUUUUAUCUGGGAAGAAAAAGGCCAUGCGUGGCAAAUUGCCGGUACCAGAUGAAUAAGCACCGGCUAACUCCGUGCCAGCAGCCGCGGUAAUACGGAGGGUGCAAGCGUUGUCCGGAUUUAUUGGGUUUAAAGGGUGCGUAGGCGGCUGAUUAAGUCAGCGGUGAAAGACUUCGGCUUAACCGGAGCAGUGCCGUUGAUACUGAUUAGCUUGAGUGUUGGAGGGGUACAUGGAAUUGAUGGUGUAGCGGUGAAAUGCAUAGAUANCNUCAGGAACACCGAUAGCGAAGGCAUUGUACUGGCCAACAACUGACGCUGAGGCACGAAAGUGUGGGGAUCGAACAGGAUUAGAUANCNCUGGUAGUCCACACUGUAAACGAUGAUUACUCGCUGUUAUGGUGUAUACUGUAGCGGCCAAGCGAAAGCGUUAAGUAAUC
Molecule: ribosomal RNA, 823 nt
Filed under: uncultured Algoriphagus sp.
Lineage: Bacteria; Pseudomonadati; Bacteroidota; Cytophagia; Cytophagales; Cyclobacteriaceae
Description: bacterial SSU rRNA
Rfam family: Bacterial small subunit ribosomal RNA
Source: RNAcentral